AGCUUGUCCGGGUCGACGGCGCGGGCGGCGAGCAGAUAGUCGCGCAGCACGAUGCCGUGCCGGCCUUC
RNAcentral lists this small RNA (68 nucleotides) under Streptomyces sp. 150FB. RNAcentral describes it as "ASdes TB sRNA". It matches the Rfam family "ASdes TB sRNA". Lineage: Bacteria; Bacillati; Actinomycetota; Actinomycetes; Kitasatosporales; Streptomycetaceae. The record is from Rfam by way of RNAcentral.